RNAcentral lists this long non-coding RNA (1094 nucleotides) under Dromaius novaehollandiae (emu). RNAcentral describes it as "lncRNA (ENSDNVG00000007252.1)". The record is from RNAcentral. Lineage: Eukaryota; Metazoa; Chordata; Aves; Casuariiformes; Dromaiidae.
GUAUAGUUGUUUCCUUGCUUUAAAAACAAAUGCAUUGCAAUAGUUGUACACAUGCUUGAGAUGCUGAAUUUUAUGAUAGGGAGAUUCAUGUUACUUACAAGUGGCAAUUUCAUAAUGCUUAAAAGAGAAGAAUAAUAGAAAAUGUAACUUUGGGKUUUUUUUUUUCUAAAGUUAAAAUUGUAAAAGUUGUCAUUCUAUUUCACUAUUGAAGGAAAUGAGACAAUUUUACUYCAGUUGAAACAGGUGGAAGUUAUAUAUCGUUAAUAUAGUUAAUAUAGCAUAAGUAAAAUAUAAUCUCAUCAGCUAUCUCCAGUAUCUCUGGAACUGUUGAAGAUAUCUCUGUGGUAUAUUCUAUGCGUAUUCUAUAUUUCCUAGCCUGCCUUUUCUCCCAGGAWUCAAGAAUCAGAAUUGCAGAAGACAACUCAUCUAAAUGUUAAAGCUUACCAAGACUUGAAAUUUCUGUGCUCUGAUAGAAUGAUGCAAUAUGUAAGGCACAAACACUUUUAUGCAAGUGUUUCUUUUUUCUUGACAUAUGUUUGUGUUUUUUCUCAAUUGCUGAAUAUUUUAUUUCCUGGUUGCUGUUGGAAAAAUUGAAUACAUGAUAUCUUGCUUACUUUUAUGGUUUCUCUAUCUUACAGCCAAGAGUUCAAACUGGACCCUAGGGGAAAAUUCAUAAGCAAAAGUGUCUAGAAUUGGUGCCCUUGCUUGGGUAGGAGAGGAGAGGAACAUGUUGAAACACUAUCCUGAUUUUGCAAUAUUGUAGGAACAGCGCCCUAGUUUGUUUCUGGCUGUUUUUAACUUGAGAAGAAAUAAUGUUUCAAUCUCCUCUGGUUAUUGUAAAGCAAAAUAUGAUACUGUCUUUUCAUGUUCUGGAAACAGCUGUUCUUAAGAAACUGCUGUGGUGCUUAGCAGCUGCCCUGUGAGCCUUGGAAGCGUGGUGUAGCAGACUCCCCGCAUCCACAGUAAGCGGAAGCAGCCCUCUGAAGGACUAAUGCUGCCAAAAUUGCAAUGAAAAUAUCUGCAAUGAAAAUCUGAAUUUUACUCCCUGCAGCCCGUAUCUGCCCCUGAGGAGAAACUGAAGCUAGGGCCGCAGU